Molecule: ribosomal RNA, 251 nt
Filed under: Lacticaseibacillus paracasei
Lineage: Bacteria; Bacillati; Bacillota; Bacilli; Lactobacillales; Lactobacillaceae
Description: Lactobacillus paracasei partial 23S ribosomal RNA
Rfam family: Bacterial large subunit ribosomal RNA
Source: RNAcentral
UGGCACUGGUGUGGGGUUGCCCCGAGUAGCGUGGAACUCGUGGAAUUUCGCGUGAAUCUGGCGGGACCACCCGUCAAGCCUAAAUACUCCUUGGUGACCGAUAGUGGAUGAGUACCGUGAGGGAAGGGUGAAAAGUACCCCGGGAGGGGAGUGAAAGAGUUCCUGAAACCGGUCGCAUGCAAGCCGUCAGAGCCUGUGUGGUGAUGGCGUGCCUUUUGAAGAAUGAGCCUGCGAGUUAGUGAUGCGUGGCG